UUGACUUUUGCCUAGUUAAACUUUUUAAAGUUUGACCAAGUUUAUAGAAAAACAUAUUUGCAUUUCCAACACAAAAUAAACAUAUAUUCAAUCUUAGAUUUAAUGAAACUAAUUUAGUGUUACAGAUGUUGCUAAAUUUUUCUAUAAACUUGGUCAAACAUUAAAAAGUUUGACUAGGAAAAAAAUCAA
Non-coding RNA from Oryza glumipatula, 189 nucleotides. NCBI's taxonomy places the organism in Eukaryota, Viridiplantae, Streptophyta, Magnoliopsida, Poales, Poaceae. The record is from Rfam.